Sinocyclocheilus grahami is the source of this 614-nucleotide long non-coding RNA. RefSeq lists it as uncharacterized. NCBI's taxonomy places the organism in Eukaryota, Metazoa, Chordata, Actinopteri, Cypriniformes, Cyprinidae. The transcript is spliced from 5 exons. The record is from RefSeq and is a predicted model, not a curated record.
AAUGUCGUAAAGUCAGAUAUAAAACGUGACGCUUUUCUUCCUGUGUCCUUCUCAGCUUCAACCCGCCUGCAAGUGUUCGUGAAGAAGGCUGGCUUAAAACUAGGAGAUUCUGAGGCAUCUCCAUGGUGUUUGAAGUGUGUAGUAACCAACAUAUGCAGUAUGGUUUCGGAUGACAUUAAUGGUCCUCCUGUGAACUGACUGGGCAAUCAGGCUCCAGAACACAAUGUGGGUGAAUAAUCCUGUGAGUUAAUGCAUAAUUUGUGCCUGAGGAAGCUUGUUCUAAUGGUGUGAUCUGAAGGAUGUCCACUAGAAGGCGCAACACCUUGUGAUUGGUGAUUUGGAGGUUUGUAAUGUUAAAGUGGUUUAUUAGAAAUAACAUUAGUCAGCACUGUUGGUAUCUGCAUCCAGUUGUAUGUCUGACUGAAGUGUUCAUUUGCCAGUGCUAGAGAACCUUGACACCCGCUCUUAUUGGACCUUAUAUGUUUGUUGUUGGGUCCUGGUGGUGGUCGAGACAAGGCCCUUAUUUUUUAUUUUCUAUAUAAAUGCAGCCAGUCUAUAAGCACUUCUCAUAAGUAUUGAAAAGUUGGUUGCUACACAUUGCAUUCCCAGAUCCU